Molecule: long non-coding RNA, 591 nt
Filed under: Setaria viridis
Lineage: Eukaryota; Viridiplantae; Streptophyta; Magnoliopsida; Poales; Poaceae
Description: long non-coding RNA (SVIR_LNC000445)
Source: RNAcentral
UUUUUUUGAAGUUAGAAAAUUAAGUUAUAUUUUUAUGAUAGAUUUUUAAGUAUGAUUGUUAAGUUAGAUUUUUAAGUUAUAUUUUUAAGUUAGAUUUUUUAGUUAGAUUGUUAAGUUAGAUUUUUAAGUUAUAUUUUUAAGUUAGAUUUUUAAGUUAGAUUUUUUUUAAGUUAGAUUUUUUUAAAGUUAUAUUUUUGUAUAUGUGUCCCCUCCGCCGUCCUGCCGCCGUGACCGCCGCCGUCACAACCUAGUAGGCACCGCCCGCUGUUCCGGGGAACCAUCCCCACCUCCGCUGUACCGCCGCCCUGACCGCCGCCGUCACAACCUAGGCACCGCCCGUGGUUCCAGGGAACCGUCCCCGCCUCCACCGCCCUGAUCGCCGCCGUCACAACCUAGGCACCGCAUGUGGUUAUUGCUAGAAAUUCGUAGAAAUUCGUAGAAAUUUGUAUAAAUAUUCCGGACUUUGUAGGAUUCAUGUUAUUUUAUGAUUUCAUUAUAUACAUGUAUGAUUCCGGACUUUGUAGGACUUUGUAGAAAUUUGUAGUAAGACGAUUUCUAUGACUGUCAUGUAUGAUUCCAUGUAUGUUUCCA